Molecule: ribosomal RNA, 494 nt
Filed under: uncultured bacterium
Lineage: Bacteria
Description: partial 16S ribosomal RNA
Rfam family: Bacterial small subunit ribosomal RNA
Source: RNAcentral
GACGAACGCUGGCGGCGUGCUUAACACAUGCAAGUCGAACGGAAAGGCCUGCUUUCCCUUGUGUGUUGCGGGUACUCGAGUGGCGAACGGGUGAGUAACACGUGAUUGAUCUGCCCCCAACUUGGGUAUAAUCCUGGGAAACUGGGUCUAAUUCCCGAUAGUACUGCAUGGUGGUGCCGGUGGUGGAAAACGAUUUUCUGGUGGUUGGGGAGGAGCUCGCGGCCUAUCAGCUUGUUGGUGGGGUAAUGGCCUACCAAGGCGGCGACGGGUAGCCGGACGGAGAGGGUGGACGGCCACAUUGGGGCUGAGUUACGGCCCAGAGGACUACGGGAGGCAGCAGUGGUGAAUAUUGCACAAUGGGCGGAAGCCUGAUGCAGCGGGGCCGAGUGGGGGAUGACGGCCUUCGGGUUGUAAACUCCUUUCGAGCGCGAGGAAGCCACUUGGUUGGAAGGGUGGUGACGGUAGUGGUAGAAGAAGCACCGGCUAACUACGUG